RNAcentral lists this ribosomal RNA (497 nucleotides) under uncultured bacterium. Its description in RNAcentral is "partial 16S ribosomal RNA". It matches the Rfam family "Bacterial small subunit ribosomal RNA", at positions 28 to 507 of the family's 1533-position model. The record is from RNAcentral.
GAUGAACGCUGGCGGCGUGCCUAAUACAUGCAAGUCUAGCGAACGUACUAGAAGCUUGCUUCUCUGUUGUUAGCGGCGGACGGGUGAUUAACACGUGGAUAACCUACCUAUAAGACUGGGAUAACUUCGGGAAACCGGAGCUAAUACCGGAUAAUAUUUUGAUCCGCAUGGUUCAAAAGUGAAAGACGGUCUUGCUGUCACUUAUAGAUGGAUCCGCGCUGCAUUAGCUAGUUGGUAAGGUAACGGCUUACCAAGGCAACGAUGCCUAGCCGACCUGAGAGGGUGACAGGCCACCCUGGAACUGAGAAAACGUCCAGACUCCUACGGGAGGGAGCAGUAGGGAAUCUGCAGCAAUGGGCGAAAGCCUGACGGAGCAACGCCGCGUGAGUGAUGAAGGUCUUCGGAUCGUAAAACUCUGUUAUUAGGGAAGAACAUAUGUGUAAGUAACUGUGCACAUCUUGACGGUACCUAAUCAGAAAGCCACGGAUAACUACGUG